GGUGGGUAUAGCUCAGUGGUAGAGCACAUGCUUAGCAUGCAUGAGGUCCUGGGUUUAAUCCCCAGUACCUCCA
This 73-nucleotide transfer RNA is filed under the name Vicugna pacos (alpaca). RNAcentral's name for it is "tRNA-Ala (AGC) (tRNA-Ala-AGC-337-1)". It matches the Rfam family "tRNA". Rfam says of the family: Transfer RNA (tRNA) molecules are approximately 80 nucleotides in length. Their secondary structure includes four short double-helical elements and three loops (D, anti-codon, and T loops). Further hydrogen bonds mediate the characteristic L-shaped molecular structure. tRNAs have two regions of fundamental functional importance: the anti-codon, which is responsible for specific mRNA codon recognition, and the 3' end, to which the tRNAs corresponding amino acid is attached (by aminoacyl-tRNA synthetases). tRNAs cope with the degeneracy of the genetic code in two manners: having more than one tRNA (with a specific anti-codon) for a particular amino acid; and 'wobble' base-pairing, i.e. permitting non-standard base-pairing at the 3rd anti-codon position. Lineage: Eukaryota; Metazoa; Chordata; Mammalia; Artiodactyla; Camelidae. The record is from RNAcentral.